Molecule: ribosomal RNA, 399 nt
Filed under: uncultured bacterium
Lineage: Bacteria
Description: bacterial SSU rRNA
Rfam family: Bacterial small subunit ribosomal RNA
Source: RNAcentral
GAGCGCUCGUAGCAAUACGGGAGCGGCAGACGGGAGAGUAACACGUGGGAACGUACCCUUCGGUUCGGAAUAACCCAGGGAAACUUGGGCUAAUACCGGAUACGUCCGUAAGGAGAAAGAUUUAUCGCUCGAAGAGGGGCCCGCGUGGGAUUAGCUAGUUGGUGAGGUAACGGCUCACCAAGGCGAUGAUCCCUAGCUGGUCUGAGAGGAUGAUCAGCCACACUGGGACUGAGACACGGCCCAGACUCCUACGGGAGGCAGCAGUGGGGAAUAUUGGACAAUGGGGGCAACCCUGAUCCAGCAAUGCCGCGUGAGUGAUGAAGGCCUUAGGGUUGUAAAGCUCUUUCGCCCGCGACGAUGAUGACGGUAGCGGGAGAAGAAGCCCCGGCUAACUUCGUG